CUUGCACACUCAACCCCAGUUCAUCACCGUGGGCUCUAAAGCCAACCCUGGGCACAAGGAAAGUCAGCAGAGCCAGCGAGAACCCUCCCCNGACCAGGAGUCCCUGGCUCUGGGGAUAGCUGAACUGAAGCCACGGCCUUGUUGAUGCACGGGCCUGGUGUCCUUUGGGCAGUGCCCUCCCUCCAUGGACAUUGUCUGUUGGAGGCUGGUUACCUUCAGCAAGUUCUGGAGGGAGUUCCCCUUUGUCCCAAGUUGGACAGGGCACAUAGCAGCCAGGCAGCCUUCAGGGCUGGCCCUGGGGCCCUCUGCGGGAGACAGCUUUGGUAGGCAUGAUGCCAGCGAUAUAAGUAAUGUAAUCUGUCGCCCUCUCCGCGUCUAGGGGAAUAAGCAUGUGUCUCAUGGGCCAGGAUAGGCGCAUCAGCUGUCACAUGACUCGAAGUGUGUCUCAGUAGGCAGAGUGGCUGCCUAGCUUGCUCACAGCCGCGGCUUCCAUCCCCAGCCCACAAAAACCAGGUGUGAUGGNGCAUGCCUGUCUGUAGUCANAGCGUGGAAGUGGAGGCUGGAGGAUGAGUGGCCAGUCUGGGAUACACGAGCCUCUGGCGUUUUAAAAGGGGGUGGGGGUGGGAAUAAGAAUUAUGACUGACAGCUUGUGUCUCUGUGUGAGGGACCCCUGGUUCCAAAUGGCUGGCCCAGGAGGCUUUGCUGAGANGGAGCUGGGGGCAGAGACAGGGUCAUCACUGGCCCCUGUCCG
Molecule: unclassified non-coding RNA, 751 nt
Filed under: Alticola argentatus (Silver mountain vole)
Lineage: Eukaryota; Metazoa; Chordata; Mammalia; Rodentia; Cricetidae
Description: partial external transcribed spacer 2
Source: RNAcentral